GAAGAAGAGAAAGAAAGGAAAGAGAUUUUUGAGAGGAAUACUACUUGGAGCUCAAGUUAUUGAUUCUUAAAUUUCUAUCUAUACUAAGGUGGUGACGAAGAAUUGUAAAAGCUUACCGACUGGCCUAGUCUGUAGCUCGUAUUGAGUGAGUGGAUAUAAAACUUAUUUU
Long non-coding RNA from Olea europaea var. sylvestris, 169 nucleotides. RefSeq lists it as uncharacterized. NCBI's taxonomy places the organism in Eukaryota, Viridiplantae, Streptophyta, Magnoliopsida, Lamiales, Oleaceae. The transcript has 3 exons. The record is from RefSeq and is a predicted model, not a curated record.